This 253-nucleotide ribosomal RNA is filed under the name uncultured bacterium. RNAcentral's name for it is "partial 16S ribosomal RNA". It matches the Rfam family "Bacterial small subunit ribosomal RNA", at positions 524 to 776 of the family's 1533-position model. The record is from RNAcentral.
UACGGGGGGGGCAAGCGUUGUUCGGAAUUACUGGGCGUAAAGGGCGCGUAGGCGGUUCGAUAAGUCAGCUGUGAAAACCAUGGGCUUAACUCAUGGCCUGCAGUUGAGACUGUCGGGCUGGAGUGUGGGAGAGGAGAGUGGAAUUCCUGGUGUAGCGGUGAAAUGCGUAGAUAUCAGGAGGAACACCGGUGGCGAAGGCGGCUCUCUGGACCACAACUGACGCUGAGGCGCGAAAGCUAGGGGAGCAAACGGG